AACCGCGCUGGCGACCAUCGCGGUCUGGCUUCGAGGCUAACGCGUAUAAAAACGUCCAUAUAACGCGGAUUACCGGCAGUCAUUGCGACGGCAGUAUCUUUCCGGCGUGAUAUGCGGGGCGCCGCGUCGCGCGUCGCCGUCGUCAUCGUUAUCGUCGCGAUCGUGGACUAAAGAUUAUAAUCGCUCGUGGCUCGCUCGAGGUCUCCGCUCGGGGAGGAGAGGAUGCCGGUGAAAGUGGACGUGGUGCCGCCGCCACCCGCAAACUCCAAGCAGCCAGGUGUCACGAAGUCCUUGCUGUACAACGGCUCGCGCUUCCAGGGCUCGCAGAAGUCCAAGGGCAACAGCUACGACGUAGAGGUGGUUUUGCAGCACGUGGACGAGGAGAACAGUUAUUUGUGCGGAUACUUGAAAAUCAAGGGUCUGACGGAGGAGUUUCCGACGCUGACGACCUUCUUCGACGGCGAGAUCAUCUCCAAGAAGUACCCGUUCCUCACCCGCAAGUGGGAUGCUGACGAGGAUGUUGACAAGAAGCACUGGAGUAAGUUCGAGUCGUUCUGUCAGUAUGCCAAAACAUUCAAUUCCGACACGUUCGAUUACGAGGCACUGAAGGGAACCGACUUUGUAUUUAUGAGGUGGAAAGAACACUUUCUGGUUCCUGACCACACAAUCAAAGAUAUCAACGGUGCCUCCUUCGCGGGAUUCUACUAUAUUUGCUUCCAAAAAUCAGCCGCCUCAAUAGAGGGCUUUUAUUAUCAUCGUAGUUCUGAAUGGUAUCAGUCGUUGAAUCUGAAACAUGUGCCGGAACAUAGUAUACAAAUUUACGAGUUCAGGUGAAGUCGAUACCCUCGCUGAGAAAAUCUCGAUAUUCAAGUCUUUUCCCCCUGUAGCAUGCAGAUCUCGUAAGAAUUUGGCGUACAAAUUUCAUCACGACCUUUUGUGAAAAGCUCGCGUUUGUGUUUAAUCGUGACACUGCAGUGACGAGGCUGUCUACGAUGAAACGAUGGAAUUUGAUGAACCAAAUGACGUUAUACAAUCCAUAUGGUACUGACCAUAGAAAUCUUACCAUUUCCUUUGUGCUGUUCCCUUCUUAGUCAACGGAGAGAUUCGUGAAGGAUAGCGAAUGAUUGAACUCCUUAUUUGAUGAUAUUAUCGAUCUUCAGAUUAUUUGUACUCGUUGUACUCGUGCUGGCAUUGUAAAAGGUCUUUGGUCUACAGUCUGUGCAUGAUUCAACAUUGACAUGUGUUCGAUACUGUGAAAUCAUGUCUGUUUCUUUCGUUCUCAAAGCGACACGCCCGAAUUGCGCGUGACGAUGCAAAUUGAAGAAAAAACCUGAUGAGAGUCUACAUUUUUAGAAAUCACACACGAUUGUAUGAGAAUUAUGCCCGUCAAAUCUCUUGAUUUUGUGCUCGAGCGUCUAUGAGAUCUGUCUGCUAUAUUACGGAAGGCCGUGUGUAAUUGUUGUAAUUCAAAUGAGCUGGACAUAUAUCGUAGGAAGAAGAAGAAGAAGAAGAAGAAGAAGAAGAAGAAGAAGGAAGAAGAAGAAGAAGAAGAAGAGAUAAUCUUGAAAGUUAUUUAAGAAAAAGAUUAAGAGAGAAAGAGAGAGAGCAUCUUGAGAUAUCGAGGUUUGACCUGUAUAUUUUAUGUUGGAGAUAUAUUUAUUUUAUGCAGUCGAUCUUUGUCGGACUCUAAUAUUUUAUACGUACAUACAUGUGCGAUAUGUGUAUGUGUGUGCGCAUAAUACGUGUAUACGCACACACACACACACACACAUUUGAUUUUAAGACUAGGCAGUAGACAUAUGUUGAGGCUGUUUAUAAAACUUGUCUUCACGUUUCGAUUGAGUGUUAAUUAAAUAUUAAUUCUCUUAGGGAGAUAGCGCAUUGUUGUGAUAAGCAUUACGAUAAUAUACGCAUAUAUAUAUAUAUAUAAUGUAUAUAUAUAUAUAUAUAUAUAUACACGCAUAUAUAUAUAUUAUAUAUAUAUAUACGGAUGUAUAUAAGUUUACGGAUUAUAACGUGACUAAUAUAUAUAGCUUAACGGAGAGUUGUGCGUUCGGCAUACCGCAGCUUUCGUUUGUGAGGUUCACAAAAAAAAAAGAAGACUCUUCUCUCGACGACACCCGGUGAUACCGAUACUCCGGCGACGA
This 2147-nucleotide unclassified non-coding RNA is filed under the name Harpegnathos saltator (Jerdon's jumping ant). RNAcentral's name for it is "glucose-induced degradation protein 4 homolog, transcript variant X3". The record is from RNAcentral. Lineage: Eukaryota; Metazoa; Arthropoda; Insecta; Hymenoptera; Formicidae.